CAAAAUUGGGAAGGACCCCUAGUCCAGCCCCUCCCUCCUCCCGUCAGUUCUGUAAUCGGACUUCUGCCCCUUUUCCUCUUCCCAAAUCCCGUCGCCCUCCCCUCUCCGUCCGACCGUCCAACGCCGUCCGCCGCCUCCGUAGUCCAGCGCCUCCCUCCUCCCGUCAGUUCUGUUCGGACUUCUGCCCCUCUUCCUCUUCCCAAAUCCCGUCGCCCUCCCCUCUCCGUCCGACCGUCCAACGCUGUCCGCCGCUACGCCGCUUCGCCACGCUGAAUCAGUCCACGCCGAAUCAGUCCACGAUGGUGUCGCCGCCCUCAGUCUGCCGGCGUCGCUGCCCUCCUGCGUGACCUCCGCAAAUCGCCAAUCAUCGCCGCCUCGCUGCUUCUCUUUCAGGCGUAACUGCUUCUUUAAUUUUGUUCACAUCUAUUGUUGCAGAUGCAAUUGAUUUGUCUCCUAAUCUGCAACUUGUUGGCUUUUGAAGUUUCCUCCUCAUCACUGUAAAUACCAUCAGCCCAUUGGCCUCCUUUAGGAACCAUUCUUUCCGUAGAAAAGUUUGCAAAGAUUCCUCAUGAGUCGUGUCCACCCAAUUGAGCGUACUCUGAAAAUCCUCUCAUAGCAUCUCAUCUCUUCAACUCUGAAUCAGCAUCCUCUUCAGAAAUGGGGGAAUUUCAUAUUUUUUCCGGUUAUUUUGGGUUAACCGAAUAACCGAAUCGGUUAACCGAUUCGGUUAUUGGUUAACCGAAUAUUCAAAACGGUUCGGGUUCGGUUAUUGAUUUUAGGUGAAUUUCGGGUUCGGGUAACCGAAAAUUUCGGUUCGGGUACCCGAAACCGAACCGUUUAACAGCCCUAAUCAGCAUAAUGUAGUGCGCUCAAACGAUUUUGCAAAUUGUUAGUCGUUAAAUGCUGAUGUGUUAUUUUAGGUAGUCACAGCUACUAUAUNCAAAUCAGACAUAACAAUAUCCAUAAGCCAUGCAGUGCAGUUAUCAGCAUAAUGUAGUGCGCUCAAACGAUUUUGCAAAUUGUUAGUCGUUAAAUGCUGAUGUGUUAUUUUAGGUAGUCACAGCUGCUAUAUCAUGUGUAUUUUUAUGUUGAAUUUGAUAACAAU
Molecule: long non-coding RNA, 1105 nt
Filed under: Salvia miltiorrhiza (redroot sage)
Lineage: Eukaryota; Viridiplantae; Streptophyta; Magnoliopsida; Lamiales; Lamiaceae
Description: long non-coding RNA (SMIL_LNC006789)
Source: RNAcentral